Molecule: ribosomal RNA, 466 nt
Filed under: uncultured bacterium
Lineage: Bacteria
Description: partial 16S ribosomal RNA
Rfam family: Bacterial small subunit ribosomal RNA
Source: RNAcentral
GACGAACGCUGGCGGCGUGCUUAACACAUGCAAGUCGAACGGAAAGGCCCUGCUUUUGUGGGGUGCUCGAGUGGCGAACGGGUGAGUAACACGUGAGUAACCUGCCCUUGACUUUGGGAUAACUUCAGGAAACUGGGGCUAAUACCGGAUAGGAGCUCCUGCUGCAUGGUGGGGGUUGGAAAGUUUCGGCGGUUGGGGAUGGACUCGCGGCUUAUCAGCUUGUUGGUGGGGUAGUGGCUUACCAAGGCUUUGACGGGUAGCCGGCCUGAGAGGGUGACCGGCCACAGUGGGAAUGAGAGACGACGGAGAAGCCUACGGGAGGCAGCAGGGGGGAAUAGUGCACAAGGGGCGGAGGCCGGAGGCAGCAACGCCGGGUGGGGGAGGAGGGGGUUCGGGAUGUAAAAAGCUUUCGCCGGUGACGAAGCGGGAGGGAGGGGAAAGGGUAAAGAAGCACCGGCUAACUACG